Molecule: ribosomal RNA, 459 nt
Filed under: uncultured bacterium
Lineage: Bacteria
Description: partial 16S ribosomal RNA
Rfam family: Bacterial small subunit ribosomal RNA
Source: RNAcentral
CCUACGGGUGGCAGCAGUGAGGAAUAUUGGUCAAUGGACGAGAGUCUGAACCAGCCAAGUAGCGUGAAGGAUGACUGCCCUAUGGGUUGUAAACUUCUUUUAUAUGGGAAUAAAAUGUUCCACGUGUGGGAUUUUGUAUGUACCAUAUGAAUAGGAUUGGCUAACUUCGUGCCAGCAGGCGUGGUAAUACGGAGGAUCCGAGCGUUAUCCGGAUUUAUUGGGUUUAAAGGGAGCGUAGGUGGAUUGUUAAGUCAGUUGUGAAAGUUUGCGGCUCAACCGUAAAAUUGCAGUUGAAACUGGCAGUCUUGAGUACAGUAGAGGUGGGCGGAAUUCGUGGUGUAGCGGUGAAAUGCUUAGAUAUCACGAAGAACUCCGAUUGCGAAGGCAGUUCACUGGACUGCAACUGACACUGAGGCUCGAAAGUGUGGGUAUCAAACAGGAUUAGAUACCCCUGUAGUC